AAAUAAAAAGAGUUAAGGAUAUUUCUAUUCUUCUCCCAGCCGCAGACCCCGCCACCGUCUGACUCUCUCUCUUUCACGCUAAACCCAGUCGUCGGCCGUUGCUCCAACCGCCUCGCCUUUGACCGUGCCGCCGUCCACCUUCGUAGCGUCGCCGGUCAGCCCUCUAUUCUUCACCGUCAGUUUCUCUCUCUCCAUCUUUCUCUCUAGGUCUCUCACAGUUUUCUCUCUCUAAGAGUUUCGUCCGGCCGCCGCCCCACCAUCAGUCCCCCGGAUUGCCAGAGCCGCCGUCGUCUCCGCCGCUUGGAACCCAACGCCAUCGCUCUUGUGGGUUUUCGUCGGAGCUUUGUUUGGGUAAGUUUUUGGUGAUUUUAAAAGGAGGUUUAAGGUGUAUCUGGAUUAUCCAUGGAAGUUUUGGCCUAAUGGUUGGUUUAGUUUCGAUUUAGGAGUUUGGAGUUGAGGUCUUGAGGUGUUUAUAGUCGCUGUCUAGCAAUAUCAAGGAGUGAUUUUGAUGGAUUUUAGGGCAUUGAUCAAGAUUUAUCUAAGUGAGAAGUAGGAUUGAUUGAGGCAAGAGAACCACCCUAGUUAGGCGACAUGGACAGGACGAUAGUAUUUGAUUUGUCUUGAGCAGCAUGAUAUGAGUAUUAUUGAAUUGUGAUGUGUAUUAUGAUUUAUGAUUCAACGCUUAUUUUGAGCA
Molecule: non-coding RNA, 694 nt
Organism: Benincasa hispida (wax gourd)
Lineage: Eukaryota; Viridiplantae; Streptophyta; Magnoliopsida; Cucurbitales; Cucurbitaceae
Source: RefSeq, a predicted model, not a curated record